CCUACGGGAGGCAGCAGUGGGGCAUCUUGGACAAUGGGGGAAACCCUGAUCCAGCGACGCCGCGUGAGUGAAGAAGUAUUUCGGUAUUUAAAGCUCUAUCAGCAGGGAAGAAAGAAAUGACUGUACCUGAAUAAGAAGCCCCGCCUAACUACGUGCCAGCAGCCGAGGUAAUACGUAGGGGGCAAUCGUUAUCCGGAAUUACUCGGGGUAAAGGGAGCGUAGACGGUAAUGCAAGUCUAGAGUGAAAGGCGGGGGCCCACCACCCGGACUGCUCUGGAAACUGUGUAACUGGAGUGCAGGAGAGGCAGGCGGAAUUCCUAGUGUAGCGGUGAAAUGCGUAGAUAUUAGGAGGAACACCAGUGGCGAAGGCGGCCUGCUGGACUGUAACUGACGUUGAGGCUCGAAAGCGUGGGGAGCAAACAGGAUUAGAUACCCUUGUAGUC
This 443-nucleotide ribosomal RNA is filed under the name uncultured bacterium. Its description in RNAcentral is "partial 16S ribosomal RNA". It matches the Rfam family "Bacterial small subunit ribosomal RNA", at positions 338 to 795 of the family's 1533-position model. The record is from RNAcentral.